UACCUACGGGUGGCAGCAGUAGGGAAUCUUCCGCAAUGGACGAAAGUCUGACGGAGCAACGCCGCGUGAGUGAAGAAGGUUUUCGGAUCGUAAAACUCUGUUGUCAGAGAAGAACAAGUUGGAGAGUAACUGCUCCAGCCUUGACGGUAUCUGACCAGAAAGCCACGGCUAACUACGUGCCAGCAGCCGCGGUAAUACGUAGGUGGCAAGCGUUGUCCGGAUUUAUUGGGCGUAAAGCGAGCGCAGGCGGGUCCUUAAGUCUGAUGGGAAAGCCCACGGCUCAACCGUGGAAGGUCAUUGGAAACUGGGGAACUUGAGUGCAGAAGAGGAGAGUGGAAUUCCAUGUGUAGCGGUGAAAUGCGUAGAUAUAUGGAGGAACACCAGUGGCGAAGGCGACUCUCUGGUCUGUAACUGACGCUGAGGCUCGAAAGCGUGGGGAGCAAACAGGAUUAGAUACCCUAGUAGUCC
RNAcentral lists this ribosomal RNA (468 nucleotides) under uncultured Carnobacteriaceae bacterium. Its description in RNAcentral is "bacterial SSU rRNA". It matches the Rfam family "Bacterial small subunit ribosomal RNA", at positions 335 to 796 of the family's 1533-position model. The record is from RNAcentral. Lineage: Bacteria; Bacillati; Bacillota; Bacilli; Lactobacillales; Carnobacteriaceae.